GCAGGAUCAACCAGGUAGCAUUCCUCACGGACAUCGACCCGCACGGCACGUGGCCGGAACGGGACCGAAGUCGUUCGAAAUAGGCCUUGAAGCCUUUUUUGCGGACAGAUAGGAGUCGGAGACUCCGUGCCCUCAUCGUUUUCCGCAUCCCAGCGCCCGAGCGAGAAUUUAUGGACCACGAAACAGACACGAAACGUGUAGUACGUGGGACACGAAUCUCGUUUCGAGUUUCACCCGCAGCCGCACCGAGAUAACGGGCAACCUAAGGCGAACAGCUAGAGAUUGACAAACGAAUUCCAUCUAGUAGGUAUGAAACACAGGAAACCAAUACACGGCCAAUGUAAAUUGUGCCAACAAUGAAGAGGAUAGCAAGGUAGGACGUCUCCGCUCGAAGCAGGGAUCCAACCAAACCGUGCUAAC
This 420-nucleotide unclassified non-coding RNA is filed under the name Richardia brasiliensis. RNAcentral describes it as "partial external transcribed spacer". Lineage: Eukaryota; Viridiplantae; Streptophyta; Magnoliopsida; Gentianales; Rubiaceae. The record is from RNAcentral.